Molecule: long non-coding RNA, 543 nt
Organism: Dreissena polymorpha
Lineage: Eukaryota; Metazoa; Mollusca; Bivalvia; Myida; Dreissenidae
Exons: 2
Source: RefSeq, a predicted model, not a curated record
CCGGUUUGAACUCCAUUGGAUCCUGCCAGACGUGUUUGUUAUGAUGGAGGCCGAAUAACUGGAGGGUAACGGUCGUUCCGGCUGUAAAAUAAGGUUAGUUAUGAUCGAGAUGUUAUUGAUAUUGUUAUGAUGGAGGCCGAAUAACUGGAGGGUAACGGUCGUUCCGGCUGUAAAAUAAGGUUAGUUAUGAUCGAGAUGUUAUUGAUAUUGUUAUGAUGGAGGCCGAAUAACUGGAGGGUAACGGUCGUUCCGGCUGUAAAAUAAGGUUAGUUAUGAUCGAGAUGUUAUUGAUAUUGUUAUGAUGGAGGCCGAAUAACUGGAGGGAAACGGUCGUUCCGGCUGUAAAAUAAGGUUAGUUAUGAUCGAGAUGUUAUUGAUAUUGUUAUGAAGUCUUCCGAGCAUGUUUCUUAGAUAAUCUUUACACCAUGGUGUCAGAUUGUCACACAAUAUGACCGUUAAAAAUUUUAGUAAAAUUUAUCAUCGAACGAUUUAUUCAUUUUUUUAUGCAAAAGGAUAAGACAGGAAAACACGGUACAAUAAACA